UGUAAAUGCGCAUCUCGGUGCAAGCAUCGGUGAACGAUCAUUCCCGUGAGGUGAAAGUCGGCAUCUGCCGCAGCCUAACAUCUGUAUCUGGAGACGGCAGCACCUUGAGUCCAGUCAGGAGAAAACGCAGAAACCGCUGUCUUCCUCCUCUGGCUGCCCAGCUACAGGAAGGACGCUGCCUGGCUGUGGAGUCUCACCUCUACAGAUAGUGGCUGCAUAGAGGACCCCAUGCCUGCCAUCUCCAGCCUGUCGGCCCUCCUACUGACACCCUAUGCUGAAGGCUGGGGCACAUGUCAAUGCCCCUCAGAUCCCACUCUGAGCCCCCAAAUCUGCUUUCAACGCUGCCGCUGCCUCCCAGGAGGCAGAAGCAGAGGGAGCCUCUCCUGUGGCCCUUGGGUUAGUUGGGACAAUUGCUUUCUUCUGUUGCCAGAAAGGUCCUUCCUGUGCCUUCCCUUCCUUGGCCCUUUGUGCCAUGACUCAGCCGGGGGCAUCAGGUGUCAGUAGGGUCCAGUGGCAUACACAAAUGGACAUUGAAGUCAUCACUUGUCGUGCAUGAUGGAGCG
This 563-nucleotide long non-coding RNA is filed under the name Marmota monax (woodchuck). The record is from RNAcentral. Lineage: Eukaryota; Metazoa; Chordata; Mammalia; Rodentia; Sciuridae.